Molecule: ribosomal RNA, 446 nt
Filed under: uncultured bacterium
Lineage: Bacteria
Description: SSU rRNA
Rfam family: Bacterial small subunit ribosomal RNA
Source: RNAcentral
AGAGCGAACGCUGGCGGCAGGCUUAACACAUGCAAGUCGAGCGGGCGUAGCAAUACGUCAGCGGCAGACGGGUGAGUAACGCGUGGGAACAUACCUUUUGGUUCGGAACAACACAGGGAAACUUGUGCUAAUACCGGAUAAGCCCUUACGGGGAAAGAUUUAUCGCCGAAAGAUUGGCCCGCGUCUGAUUAGCUAGUUGGUGAGGUAACGGCUCACCAAGGCGACGAUCAGUAGCUGGUCUGAGAGGAUGAUCAGCCACAUUGGGACUGAGACACGGCCCAAACUCCUACGGGAGGCAGCAGUGGGAUAUUGGACAAUGGGCGCAAGCCUGAUCCAGCCAUGCCGCGUGAGUGAUGAAGGCCCUAGGGUUGUAAAGCUCUUUUGUGCGGGAAGAUAAUGACGGUACCGCAAGAAUAAGCCCCGGCUAACUUCGCGCCAGCAGCCGC